Molecule: long non-coding RNA, 402 nt
Organism: Prunus dulcis (almond)
Lineage: Eukaryota; Viridiplantae; Streptophyta; Magnoliopsida; Rosales; Rosaceae
Exons: 2
Source: RefSeq, a predicted model, not a curated record
GAUGUGGUCGACGACCCCUCAACCACUUCUCAUCUGCUGUCUCUAUGUUAGGAAGAUGAUGAGUUUGAGAAGGUCAAGCAAACAAUUGGCAGUGUAAUUCCACGAUAUUAGAUCACAGCCCCUAUCCCACGUGUUAAAAGAUCAUGACUACAAAACUUGAGGAUACAAAAGGCAUAGUAUACAUGUAUUUUGUUUUGUUCAAAAGAGUGUACAAGCUUGGUAAUAGUCUUAGAGUGGAGAAAUAAUGAUUGCAGAACUUGGGUUUACCAAGGGCAAGAAUAUAUGGAGCUUGGCCUCCAGUCUUUCAGUGGAAUUUGGAUAUGUUAUGUGUACUUGAAUGGCUAGUACGCUUGUGUACUUUUGAAUGAGAGAAAUUUGUAUUCAUGUAAUUUUCUAUUGAUC